AUGCCAUGGUGUGUGCAUUGUCUUUACAAAUCCUUGUAUCUUUGCCAUGCCUCAUAGAGAGACUCCUAUAUAUGUUGUUAAAAAUCAAAUAUCUCAUUUAUGAACAU
Small nucleolar RNA from Beta vulgaris subsp. vulgaris (sugar beet), 107 nucleotides. It matches the Rfam family "Plant small nucleolar RNA R71". Rfam says of the family: R71 is a member of the C/D box family of snoRNAs containing the C (UGAUGA) and D (CUGA) box motifs. Multiple nearly identical copies of this snoRNA have been identified in Arabidopsis, and it is thought to function as a 2'-O-ribose methylation guide for 18S ribosomal RNA. The record is from Rfam. Lineage: Eukaryota; Viridiplantae; Streptophyta; Magnoliopsida; Caryophyllales; Amaranthaceae.